UAUAGAAUUUUAUAUAUAACCAAAACACCACAUCGUAGAGUAAUACAACAAUACUAGAUUUUAACCCGCGGUAUAUCGCGAGACGAUUUAUUUUUUAAAGGUAAUAGAUAUUAAAACUUGCAAAUUUUAUUUUUAUA
RNAcentral lists this small RNA (137 nucleotides) under Arabidopsis thaliana (thale cress). Its description in RNAcentral is "ATSL149390". Lineage: Eukaryota; Viridiplantae; Streptophyta; Magnoliopsida; Brassicales; Brassicaceae. The record is from RNAcentral.